CGGUAGUGGUGUGAGUGGUUCUUUGACCUGUGGUGCCUCAAUUGUUCAUAGUGAAACUUUUAUAGUUUGACUGCACAUAAAUAUGACCUCCUAGCCAUUUGGAUCCUUGUAGUGUAUGUUGACUACAGUAGAUUCAUUGUAGGAGUAGAGUGCGUACUUAGAUGGGAUCUAUCAACCAUAGUAGAUAAGGAAGAAACCUAUGGAG
This 205-nucleotide long non-coding RNA is filed under the name Elaeis guineensis (African oil palm). RNAcentral describes it as "long non-coding RNA (EGUI_LNC033545)". The record is from RNAcentral. Lineage: Eukaryota; Viridiplantae; Streptophyta; Magnoliopsida; Arecales; Arecaceae.